UACGUAGGUGGCAAGCGUUGUCCGGAUUUACUGGGCGUAAAGAGCGCGCAGGCGGCCAAGUCAGUCGAAUGUGAAAGCCCCCGGCUUAACUGGGGAGGGUCAUUCGAUACUGCUCGGCUCGAAGACAGGAGAGGGAAGUGGAAUUCCCGGUGUAGUGGUGAAAUGCGUAGAGAUGUGGAGGAAUACCGAUGGCGAAGGCAGCCCCCUGGGAUAACACUGACGCUCAUGCACGAAAGCGUGGGGAGCAAACAGG
This 253-nucleotide ribosomal RNA is filed under the name uncultured bacterium. RNAcentral's name for it is "partial 16S ribosomal RNA". It matches the Rfam family "Bacterial small subunit ribosomal RNA", at positions 524 to 776 of the family's 1533-position model. The record is from RNAcentral.